Molecule: long non-coding RNA, 11510 nt
Filed under: Populus trichocarpa (black cottonwood)
Lineage: Eukaryota; Viridiplantae; Streptophyta; Magnoliopsida; Malpighiales; Salicaceae
Description: long non-coding RNA (PTRI_LNC000563)
Source: RNAcentral
UUGUGACGAAGUGGAUGACUCUAAAGUGGACCUGGUAUUCCAGCCGUUCAAAGAUAAUUUGGAGCUCCAAAUUCCUGAAAACGAAAAGCACAGGUCAGCAUGAUUUCAGAGUUUUAGUUCAGAACUACCUUCACAAUUUUUCAAUCCCCAAGUCAUCAGUAGUUUGCUGAAGCCUGAUAAUGUUUCCGUAUUAAAAAUGUAAUUGUCAGGUGGGAAGGCAAAUAUGAACACUCAGCCUAUGCUGCUCUAAAUGCAACAGAAAUAGCAAAAUAAAUCUCUUUUCCCAGCUCAGAAGCUUGUUGUAGGCCAUCAAUUCGCAUUUCAGGCAGCUGGUUGUGUUUUUUUUUUCUCCCUGUCUUUUUUUUUCGUUUUGUAUUAAGAUGACUAGUGUGACAAUAUCUCAUGACAUUUUAUUCGAAUUUCCUUGCUCUGGAGAAAUUUCAUAGCACAAAUUGCAUUUGAAAUACAAAAUCAAGCUGAGAAGAUGGUUGGAAUAAGCCUUGAUGUUAUGUAUUCCAGGGGAAAUAAAAUUCUCAAUAUUGUGCAUGUUAUCCGGAAGAGAUUAUGUGACUUAUGUAUCAUGAAAGUAGAGCCUAUGACAACAUUCUAGUAAAACGUAUUUGUUUUACCAUAGAUUCAACCGAGUCCAAGACUCCUAUUAAUUCCGACAUCAUUAUCUACCACUAUCUAGAUAUUAAAACUUUAACACGGUUAAAUUAGUUUUUGGGUUGAGAUGAUAUUUUAAUUUGGCAUUAAAAUUUUGUUGAUCAAGUGAUCACAAGUUUAAAUCUCAUCACUUUAAUUCUAAUUAAUAAAAAUUAAUCACAAUGUAAUGUGAUCAUGCGCAAGUUUCAAGCUCAAAAGCUUUUCACUUGAGAAAGGGUUAAUGAGUAAUAUAAAACUAUUUUUGAAACCUCACUUGAUAGCUUAAGCUUUUGGGCUGAGAAGGUUCUUUGACAUGAUAUCAAAGCCUUGUUGAUGAAGUAGUCACAAGUUCAAAUCUCACCACCCUCAUUCUAAUUCAUAAAAGUUAAGCACAAGGUAAUGUAAGCAUGUACAAGUUUUAUAAAACUAGAUGGGUCUAUAGUGUUCUGCUCAGAGGCACAUACUUCUAGCUUGUCAGGUUUCCUUUAGUGUCCUCUUGGUCAUGGAGAAAGAUUAUACUCAUCAUAGAUUGAUGUAGAAGAAAAUUUGUCUCCAAUAUUGGUGAUGAGACUACUACCUCUUUGUGGUUAGACUAUUGGUUACCAAAUAGGUAACAUUAUGUGAUCUAGUGCCUUUUAGGGUGCUCACUUCUACUGGGCUGCCAUGAAAUGUUAAGGUCUCAGACAUCAUUGAGGGGGAUACUUGAGCUUUUUCAUCGAGUAGUCCGACGCUCCAACCUAUUUGGAACAUGAUUACUUUUAACCCCAGGAGUGCCUUAUAAAAACACUAUGUCUGGAAUGGUCACUCAUCGAGAAGGCUCUCUAUUGACUCAGCAUAAAAGAUUCUUAGAGAUUCUAGACCCACAUACUCUAUAUACCAUCUUCUCUGGUUCUUAGGUUUCAUCCCGAGACACUCCUUUAUCUUGUGGCUUGCCUUUAUAGGUCAUCUCAACACUAUGGAGAGACUAUAUUCUUUUUAGAUCAUUCCCUCUUCAACAUGUAUCUUUUGUGGGUGGCAGGUUGAAACACAUGAAUAUUUAUUCUUUCAGUGCCCUUUCUCUGCUGCAGUUUGAGGUAUCAUGAGCAUGAUUUUUAUGGGUUGACCUUUUUCGACAAGACAUCAACAAAUUUAGUGGGCAUACACGCACUUGAAAAAGAAGAAGGAAUUUAUGCAUCUCUUUACUCGGCUAGCCCUCUCAACCUCGAUUUAUUUCAUCUGGCAUGAGAGAAAUAACAAAGUCUUUCAUCAAAUUUACCAAUCUCAUCAGGAUGUUUGCGAGGACAUUUAUUAUUUGGUCUGGUCCUGUUUGGUAGAGCUCAAACCAAGGUUUCACAUCCUAACUACUUUUAGGUCCCUUUGACACUUCCAAGAGUCAUGAGAUACCAUUGCUUUGCUAUUUUCGAGAUUGUGUUUAGUAUAGUUUCAUAUAUAAUCAAUCGGUUGAUCGGUUAAGGAAAUUUUCAAAACCAAUCGACCGACUCAUCUGCUAUUUGUCAUCACAAUCUGCUUGUCUUUUUUUUUUUUUUAGUUUCUUUUUUAGCUUUUGCUUCUUUUCCUUGUUUGGCUAGAUAGACCAGGGUAACAAGCUUUUGUACUUCUUGGGGUAUGCUCUUUACACUUUGUACAACUUUCUUCUUUUAAUACAAUUACUCUUAUUUAUAAAAAAAAAAGUUUUAUAAAACUGUUCUUAUGGGCCUAUGACCUUACCUAACAACUUAAGUUUUUGGGUUGAGAUGAUUAAUUUACACUAGCGGUUCAUCAAUUAAAAAGCUUGAAUGAAAGCUCAUCUUGUUGAAGAAUAUGUGAAAAACAAUUCUUAUCCUACAACAAAAUGACUUUGUAUCGCUUAAACAAUAGAAAUAGCUAGCUAUUUGACCCGCGUUAUGUUGCGGGUUGAAUAUUUUUUUUUCCAAUACAAAUAAAGAAACAUCCAGGUAUAGCUAAUGUUUUUCUAGUAGAUAAAAAUUAAGUCAUCUGAGAGUUGACGUGAUAUGACCUGGUUGACUUGACGGGUUUAAAGACAACUUAAACAACUAGUUAAAACAUAGUUCGACUAUAAAAAAAAUAAUUCAGGACAACGUCAUUUUUUUUAAAAAAAUAUUGAUGUGACAAUAUAUUGGAUCAACCUGGAUUAACCUUUCAAGUCCACAACCCGGGUCAUGAGAUCAUGACAACCCUAUAUAAAACAAAUCAAAACAAAUUAUGAAGUUUAAUUUCCAAUUAAACCAAUGUAGAAGAAUGAAAUUGAAAAAAUAAUAAUUAAAAAGGAACAAAAAACCAACCCAUAUCGAUAUGCCAAAUCCACGACUUGAGUCAUGAGAACAACCCCAUAGAAAAUAAAUCAAUAUAAAUUAUGAAGCCUAAUUUUCCAAUCAACUCAAUUUAAAGAUGAAAUUGGAAAAAAAAACUCAAUUUAAAAAAUAACUUGAGUCAACCCGUGUUAACCUCUUAAACUCAUGACUUGGGUCAUGAGACCGGGAUAAAUUUAUAAAAAAGUAUAUUAAAAAAACAACCUAAGUCAACUCAGGUUAACCUUCCAAGCCUGCGACUCGGGUCAACCCGGGUUAACUAGCCAAGCUUGCAACCUAGGUCAUAAGACUAAGAUAUAUUCAUAGAAAGCAAAUUGAAUAAAUUAUAAAGAACAUUUCUCAAUAAAUACAUUAUUAAAUGAUAAAAUUUGAAAAAAAAUCAAUCUAAAAAAAACACAUAAAACAAUCCGAGUCUACCUAAAUUAACUAGCAAAACUCGUAACUUGAGUCAUAAGAUCAGGAUAACCUUAUAGAAAAUAAACUGAAACAAAUGACAAAGCAUAAUUCUUAAUCAACCCAAUGUUAAAGAUGUUGAAGGAUGAAACUGGAAAAAAUACCAAAUAAAAAAAAAUUAAAAAAACUCAAGUCAGUCGAAUUAACCCACCAAACCCAUAACAUGAGACAUGAAAUUGAGAUGACCACAUGGAAAGUAAACCACAACAAGUCAUAAAGUCCAAUCUCUAGUAAACUAAGAGUUGAAGAAUGAAAUUAGAAAAAAAAAAUAGAUUAAAAAAAUAAAAAAUAUUGCAAUGAAUAGUAUUUUGUGAGGUUAUGCAUAGUAAAAGCAUAAUCUCUUUUAGUUUUUGUUAAUUAAUAAUAAUAACUAGCUUUUUAACCCGCACAGAGCCACAAGUUGUAUUUUUUUUAAAUGGAUGUACAUGCUUUAUUGACGUGCUUUUAUAUAUAAAAAAAUUUUAAGUGCAAAUAAAUAUUUUUAUGCAAGUAUCUAAUUAAAUAAAUUGAUCAAAUAUCUGUGUAAACACAUGAAAAUUUAAAAAUCAAGAUAUAAAUACAAAUCAAGAUAUUUGAUCCAACAACAUGAGAUAUUCACCUGAUCAUGUUAACUAAAUUUAUUUAUGAAAAUAAAUUUGUUAUUCGACCAAACAAUAAUGAAAAUAGACACAUGGGAUAUUUAAAUAAUUUUUAUUUUAUUUUUAAAAAUGAAGCUCAUCAAUAUAAAACAUAAAAAAAUUAUAGAUGAAUCGUAACAAUAUCUUCAAAACUUAAACACAUACAAAACAUUUUUUUUUAAAAAAACCCUCAAUUAAAAAAUGGCUAAAUAAACAAAAUAAAAAAAAUCAUAGAGGAGGGAUAUUAACUGUAAGAAAAUACUAAAAAAGAUAUCAACUAAAAUAAAAACCAAAAUUAAAAUAAGAAAAUAAGAAAAAAGCUAGUGAUAGUUUAGGCGACACAAUCAAGUUUAAAAGAAAUAAGAAAAACAAAUGAACUUUAGCUAUAAGCCUGACCACAUUAAAUAAAUUGGUUUUAUUUUAAUUAGUUAGUGAAAAAAUAGGCAACGAUAGUAAACAAAUAAAAAUUUUAUAAAAAUAAAGUGCACAAUAACUUGGAAAAAAAACUUGAAAGUACAAAAUUAAAUAAAUAAAAAAAAUAACCAGAGUGAACUCGAGUUAGUGUGGUAGACUUGUAGCCUGGGUGAUAAGAGGCGAGUCAACUCGUGUCGCAGGUUAUAAGAUCAGAAUAACAUGGUAGAAAAGAAAUUGAGGAAAACCACAAAGCCAAUUUUUUUUAUAAAAAAAAUAAUAUCAAACGGUGAAGUUAAAAAAGAAAAUGAGAAAAAAAGAAGGAUUUUGACUCGCGUCAAUAAUCAAAACCCAUGACUCGGGUCAUUAGACUAUAAGCAUAAAAUGAUCUCAAAUAAAAGAAAUACAAUUAAAAGAAUGAGGGUGAAAAUUAAAAAAAAUAUUGAGGGGGCGACAAAUUCUUUUUGAUUUGAGGUUAAAUUAAAAAGAAAAAUAACUUUAAUAAAAGGAAAAACAAAUCAAAAGAAUGAUGACUAAAUUGGAAAAAAAUAAUGCACCAUAAACUUUGAUUGAAGAAUAAAAUUGAAAACAAAUAAAGUUUUAACAAAAAGAUCAAGGAAAAAAAUUAGAAAUCAAAAGAAUAAGGAACAAAUUGAAAAAAAUAAUAUACGAUAAAUUGUAAUUAAGGGAUUAAAUUGAAAACAAACAAAAUUUUUAUAAAAGGGUCAAGAAAAAAAAAUCAAAAGAAUAAGGAUUGAAAUUGAAACAACUAAAACAAAGAGGAUAGUCCUCUCUUGCUAGUUCAAACUAUGCUAUUUUCUAAAUAUUUUUAUAACCUAUGCCAUUCUUCCAUAAUUUUAACCGUUAUUUUUAAAAAAAUUCAAGAUUGAGAACCAACUAAAUAUUGUGGUCUUUGUUUGAGAUCGCGAUAAGCCUAUAAAUAUCAAACCAAAACAAAUUAUGUUGCUUAAUUAAAAAUUAAUAAAAUAUUAAAAGAUAAAAUUAAAAAAAAAAUUAAGCAAGAAAAAUUAAUAAAGAUCUAAUUGAAAAAAACAAGGAAAAAAAAUAAAAACUAAAAACAAGGAAAAAAAGCUUAGGCACAUAUGUCUGGAUCAACCCAUAGUCAUAGGCCUGGUUAAUCUUUUUUUUAAAGGGUGAAUGCCCUUGAAUGUUUUGAAAAAAAUUUAAUAGGUAAUGCGUUAUCUACUCCGUCCAAAUUCCAGCGACUAGAGAUUGCUGGAAAGUAGAGGUAGAGGUGUUUUACACCUAAAAAAUCUAUUUUCAACCGUAUUUUAACUUAAAAACACCUAAACAAGUAUACACCUUGAAAAACUUAUUCAUGACCUUAAACAACCCAAAAAUCACUAUGUAAAUCCAAAAUCAGUCUGAAACUAAAAAAUCUCUCUAACUUGUAUAUCUACCAUCUCAAGCAAGGUUUAAAGCAAAUAACACUUAGAAUAAACUCUCCUCAUCAAAUAAAACUCAUUAACACCAAUAUUUUUAUUUUUCAUGCUUGAAUACAAUGUCAACCAAGACCUUUUCUCUCUACCAUCAAAAUAUAAAAACUAACUCUUUCUUCUCUUGAAACAAAGACCAAAAAAUUAAAAAAAUAAAGUUUUCAACAAAAAUUAAAUUUGAAGGAUAUGAAAGAACCAAAAAUUUAUAAUUUAAAAGUUUAAAGACCAAACUAAACUUUUCACCCCAAGUUUGAAAUAACCACCUUUCACCAUUUCUCCACCCUUUUUACUUUGAGUGUCUAUCUUUAAAUCUUAUCUUUCCUAAAAAAAACCCUGAUUAAAAUGACGAUCAAUCUAGGUUUAUAAAAAUGUAAUUGAAAAAAAUAUAUAGAGAAAAAAAGACUCAAUAAUUUGUUUGUGUGAAAAGCGGCGCGGUUAACAGUGAUUUCACCACCUCUAUUAUAGUUAAAGUUAAUUAAUUAAUAAUUUGGAAAACGUUCUAAAAAAUGAAAACUGCAAGGGAAAUAAUGCACCUUUGAACAAAAUAAAAGGUCACAAGCAAAAACUCGAUGAAGCUAAUUUCUAUGGCAUCAACUGUAUGAACACACUGUAGGGAUAACUCAUAUAAAUCUACAUGGAAGAGAGAAUAUGCACACCACGCAUACUGUUGUAACCCAUUUUUGGGUCCCCACAAAAUAUAUAUAAAAAUAUAUAGCCAAAGGAGGUUAGAAAAAUAACAGGAGGCAGAAGCGCUCAGAAAAUGGUUGGAAAAUUGGUCAAUGAGGUUAAAAAUACAAAGAUUGGAUUUUUGACAGUAUAUUCUUGAAGGAGGAGAGCCCUGUUGAGAAGAAAAAUUUGAAAUUUGAGGAGAAAAGCCCAAAUUUGGAUGUUUAUGGACUUAAUUGGAUUUUUAAAUGAAUUUAUAGGAGAUUUGAUUGUAAGAUAAAUUGAUUUUUAAGUCAAUUUGGGCUUUAAUUAGAAGAAAUUUAAGUUCUGGGGCCAAAAUAUAUUUUUUAGGAAUUUAUUAGGUCAAAUCAGGGGCCUAAUUGCAUAAAUAUUGAAGUUUAAGGGCCAAUUGGGGACUUAAUUGAGAAAAUUUGAAACCAGGGACCAAAUUGGAAGAGGCGCGUAAAUGGAGGGGCUGGAAUUAAUUGAUUCAGGGGCCUAAUUGAAGAAAUUGGAAGUUUUUUGAUCAAUUAAGGGCUCAAUUGCAUAAAUCAGAGGCCAAGGACUAAAGUGAAAAACGCGGCCAACAAGAGGGGCGAAGACCGAAAUUGGCAGGGAUGCAAUUGAAGGAAAAAAAAGAUGAUUAAGGGCUAAUUUGGAAUUUGGCGCGUUCUGGCGCCACAUUUAAAUGAAACGGCGCGUUUUCUCCAAAACGACGCCGUUUCAUACAUUAAAAAAAAAAGAAAAGAAGAAAGAGCAGAACGGUGGCGUUUUGAACGACACUGUUCCUCUUUCUUCUUCCCCCCGAACAUGCAGCGGGGAAGAAGGAAAAAGGAUGCUUUAAUUUGAAUUUUUUGCCGGUCCUUCUCUCGCCUGGAGCCCACCGACCGAACACACUGGCCGACCACGCACCUGCUAGAAAACCGGGUGGAGCCGAACCUUGGCAGUCGCGCCCAAUGGCCGAUCACCCGGCUGCUCCCCAUGAGAAAAAGCCACGCCCUUGGCUCUAUAAAUAGAACCCAAGAACGCUGAGAAAUGGACGAGGAGGAAGGGUGAGAAAGACCCGAAAGGAGAGAACGGAGAGGGGGAGAAAAAAAGAAAGAAAACCCGAAAAGAGGAGAGAGACCCGAAGAAGAGAGAAACCGAGAGGAGAGAAAACAAAAAAAACAGAGAAAAGAAAAAAAACAGACCGAGAGAAGAGAGGGAAGGGAAGAAAAAAGGAAGACCGAAACAUAGGAAGAGGAAGGAAGAGUUGAAAAUUUAGGGAAAACAAACCGGGAGGGCUGUCACGGGAAAACACUAAAAAAUAGAGCGCCGCCGCUGCUUGGAGCCGCCGUCCGUGAGCCAAGACGCCGCCACCAGCCUCCGCCACAGCACCGCCAGAAACGCAGCAAGCCACCGCCUCUGUGCCAGGUAACUAUUCUCUACCCUCACUCUUGUUUUUUUUUUCCUUUUCUGCAUGCAGAACGAAUAGCGUUCUGCAUGCAGGGGUGGGGGGAAAAUAAUCCCCCCCGCCCGUUUUGGUUGCUGGGCCAGGCGGAUCCUGGCCCAGCCCUGCCUUCUGGGCCGGUCCUGGUCCAGAAGGGAAUAUUAGAUUUUUGGGCCAAAGUCGGCCCAAUUCAUUUUGGGCCGAGAUCGGCCCAACACCUUUGGGGCUGCGUCCGGCCUAGCUGGCUGGGCCGGCCCAGCCCAGCCCAAUUUAAUUUUAUAUUAUGUAUAUUAUUUGUUUGUUGCAUUAUAUAUAUAUAUAUAUAUGAAAAAAUUACGAAAAUUCUGCAAAAAUUAUUUUAAAAAUAUUGUUGAUUUUUCUGCAUUUGUUUUAUCAAAAUGGAUUAAUAUUUGGUUGUAUUUUUAUACCGUAAGGAUACAAAACCCAGUAUUAAAAUACCCGAUUUGCGUCAAAACAUACAAAAAAAUACAUAUUUAAAAAAUGUUUUGUUUUAAAAUACGGCCUAGUCUCUCCAAUAUAUAUAUAUAUAUAUUAUAACAUCAUAUUUUUCAUAUAACAAAUUUCAUAUAACAAAGAAAAUUUCAAAACAAUAUAUGUAUUAGCAUGCAUUUUGGCUUUAAUAACCAGUUUGUUCAAGCCAUGAGAACUAGGCCAAUAUUUCAAAAAUUCUAAAAAAUCUUUUUGUUUACGAAUAUUAAACAUAAAACGUAUUCCUGAUAUUAAAAAUAUGGUUUUUUUACAUAGACGUUAGAACGGUUAGGUUUUACCCGAUAAGAUAAGGACCUCCUUAUUGAGGAGGACUUUUCUUGAACCAUAGACGGACCAACAUACAUAGACGUUAGAACGGUUAGGUUUUACCCGAUAAGAUAAGGACCUCCUUAUUGAGGAGGACUUUUCUUGAACCAUAGACGGACCAACAACUAGGAAACACAACGAGACCUUGAAUUUUAUCAGACAAAUAAACAAUGCAGCUUACCUUAGGUAGGGCGUAUUUGGGGUGCUAAUACCUUCCCUUUACGCAACCAGUCCCCGUGCCCGAUCUCUGAGACCAGUUAGGGUUCCUAGUGACCAAAAUACUAGGUGGCGACUCCCACACCUUUUUUUCAUUGCUAAGAGACAAAGAAUUCCUUGUCUCCUCAUAUUUACCAUAUAUAUAUAUCCCCCCAUCACACAUUUGAGGGUGGACGAUCGCCGCGACGUCGCGCACCCGCGACAGAAUGGCAACUCCACUGGGGACCUUGUGGACUAAGCUUUGUUUUUGUCUGAUUUGUUUUUUGUUUUUGUGGGUUUAUUGUUAAAUAUAGAACUGUCUCAUAUGCUUUAAAUAUUGUACAUAUAUUUUACACAUAUUGUUCAUGCAUUAUAUAGAACUGUCUCAUGCAUCACAUACUUUGACAUAUAUUUUACACAUAUUGUUCAUGCAUUAUAUAGAACUGUCUCAUGCAUCACAUACUUUGAUUAUUGAGAGCACACACAAACUUUAAGUUAAGUGGGGGACUAGCAGCUUACCUUACGACUGUUAGUCAAGGUUUAAGUUUGUGUAAACCCCAACUCUUCGCUGAGUGCUUAGACUGGCAAUAGUUGGUACAUGUGCCAUCUCAUUGCCUACAAGCCCCCAUAUUGCCUCCACGAGGGCAAUCACUGGGACAACAAGAGACCCUUUUUAGAGACUGAAUAGCCAACCUACCCUCGUCAAGCACAAAAGAUUUAGAACCGGCUAUAGGGUGUAUGCUCCACAAAGUACAUUUUGCAUAAAACAACCUAAACCAUAAAGCAUUUGGUUUUCAGGUCUUUUGAAACGAUAAGAUGGCCAUCAUUACCAAAUUUACUACUGUGGAAUAUGGGCAGAAUUCUGAAUUGUCACAACUAUCAGAAGGAGAUUGCUCUAGAUAUGAUGCAAGGAAGCUUCCAGUAGUCAAAGACUUGAAUUGCGUAAUAUAUGAGAUGAAGAGAAUAUUGGGCCAUAGUCAAAACAUUGAUGAGGCGGCAUUCUUCGGAAAGUAUGGGCGAUUGUUGGAAAUAACAAAGAUAGAAGUAUUGAACCCAGCAAUCAAAGCUUUGAUUAACUUUUAGGAUCCCGAUUACAGAUGCUUUUCCUUUGGAAAUGUGGAUUUGUGUCCCACUAUAGAGGAGUAUGGAAUGUUGACGGAGUUUCCCAAACACCUGCACCGAGUUUAUUUUCCUUUGAGAAAUGACAAGGUGAUUCCUGAGUUGUCAAAAUUGCUGAAGAUUCCACAUUUGAGCAGAUUUUUAGAGAAGAAUGGCAGCGGUUUAAAGUGGAAAUUUCUGGAGGUUGAACUAGAAAAGAAAAAAGAGCAAUACGGGUCAAUGCUAGAAAGAGACAAGUUAAUCGCUCUGGGGAUCUAUGGGCUCGUGUUAUUUCCAAGCUUAAUAGGGGUUAUAAGCCUAGAAGCUGCUGCUGCAUUCAUGGAAUAUGAAAAUACUCAUGUCAACCCUACAACUGCCAUAUUAGCUGAGACCUUUCUGACCCUCAACCAUUUUAAAAAGACGGGGAAAGGCGCAAUGAGAUGUUGUACUCAAUUAUUAUACAUCUGGAUGGUAAGCCAUGUUGAAACCAAGAAGCCGAUCUUUAAUAAUUUUUGGUGGUUUAACCAAAAACCCUUGAAGAUAAUGGAGGAAGAAGAAUGGGGAAUCCUAGGUGAUCAAGGUUGGAUGGAAAAACUGCAAGAGUUACCUAGUAGCAGCUUUAGUUGGAAGGCCCCUUGGGUUAAAUCAGUGGAUGUCAUAGUAAGUUGCGGACAAAAAUGCUGGGUACCUUUAAUUGGGAUCACAGGUUAUGUCAGCUAUGCUCCGGCUCUGGUGAUAAGACAAUUAGGUGGCAUACAACACAUCCCAAGAACUGUGGGACUUGCUGAAUUUUUCGGGUUUUUCAAGGAUCAAUCCGCGAAAGAAGUUCUUGAAACCAUCAAACAAGAUUGGUGCCAUUUGACUAUAAUUCAAAAGGAGUCAGAAAGUUUGAGAGACCCUAGCUCAAGUGAAGGAUAUGAAAAGUGGAGGAAUUUGACCCUGAUUGCCGCUCCGAAAAAACCAUGUCAUAAAGACGGGCCUUCACGAAUUAAAGAAAGGUCGUUGAAAAGAAAAAAGGUCAGUAAUGAGAAAGACCUUAUGGAGCAAUUAGAAAGAUUACAAGUAGAAUUGGGAAAGAGUAAGGGAGAUAAAGCAGCAUUAGAAAGGAUGAUGAUGGAAGGAGAUAAAAGCAGAGUGUUUCUGAACGAACAGCUCGAAUCUAGAGAUGCGAAAAUAGUGAUGUUAGAGCUGCAAUUGAGCAAAGGAAAGGCUGUAAUAGAAGAGUCCGAGAAAGAAAGAGGAAGACUGAUUUUGGAUUGGAUGCAAAGCAGCUCUGAAUUAGAAGCGUUGAAAGCCGACUUCAACGACUAUCAAGAGAAUGUCGAGGACAAAUUCUUGCAUGUUCAAGCAGAGUUGUUGGACCAAAUUGAGAAGUAUGAAAUUCGCCAGUGGACUGGUUAUUCUGUAGCGGGUG